This is a long non-coding RNA of Ostrinia nubilalis (European corn borer), 657 nucleotides long. RefSeq lists it as uncharacterized. The transcript is spliced from 2 exons. The record is from RefSeq and is a predicted model, not a curated record. NCBI's taxonomy places the organism in Eukaryota, Metazoa, Arthropoda, Insecta, Lepidoptera, Crambidae.
UCUAAUUUCUUAGUAACAAAACAAUGCAAGUUUAAAGGAAAAACAUAAUAUAAAUAACCGUGAAGUUAUGUUUCAUUGUGGUCAGUUAGUCCAUCUAAUUAAUCGGCUAUAACUAUUGCUAUAUAAGUGUGGAGCGCGCAUGUUCCUCGCUAAGUAUAUCCAUACUCCAUACUGCGUAGAGAAUCCGCAGCUGCGCGUCAGAUUGUCAGUAUUAAGUUGCGGCGUAAACAGUCACAAUGAAGCUCAGUCUCGUGCUGGUACUUAGCGUCUGCGCACUAGCCAUGGCAGCUCCAACGAAAGUGUAUUACAACCUGGAUGAAGCCCCGCAGUUGUUUGAGACAUUCAUCAAGGACUACCAAAAAGAAUACAAGGAUGACGCUGACAAACAGGUGCAUUACGAAGCGUUCAAAAAUAAUUUGAGUAAAAUCAAUCAACAAAACGAACAGAGUAAAUCUGCGACGUUCGGAAUAAACAAGUUUGCUGAUUACACGGACGAAGAUAGAAAAGGCAUGUUUGGAUUCGGAGCGCGGAAACAGUGAUUAUAAUAUUAAAUAAUGCAAUCAUACACAAAUUGAAGAAGAGUGUCUAUGUACCUAUUUGAAAAAAAAAACGAUGUAUUCUCAUUAUUUUUUUUAAUAAAAUAUUAAAUUAAAGUUA